UCUUGCAAAUUGGAUGGAUUACAUUUCAGUCUUUUUUUGAUACUCAACAUAUACUUUUAUCAGUUCCUGAGUUUUCUUUGUGGGUGUUACAGAGGAGAGAGCCUAUAAAUAUGUGAUUUACUGUGGAACCCAUGGCAGACAGAGGCUCACUGUAUUUUUUUACUUGGUUACUUUGGUCUCCUGAUGUUGAGGUUUGAUUUGGUUCAUAUUUUAAUGACCCCUGCGCCUACUAUGAAUUUUUUG
Molecule: long non-coding RNA, 243 nt
Filed under: Trifolium pratense (red clover)
Lineage: Eukaryota; Viridiplantae; Streptophyta; Magnoliopsida; Fabales; Fabaceae
Description: long non-coding RNA (TPRA_LNC006353)
Source: RNAcentral